RNAcentral lists this small RNA (640 nucleotides) under Pongo abelii (Sumatran orangutan). RNAcentral's name for it is "retained intron". Lineage: Eukaryota; Metazoa; Chordata; Mammalia; Primates; Hominidae. The record is from RNAcentral.
GAUUAUCUUCAACCAUAUGAAAAUGUAAAAUCUACUCUUGGCUCAUGGACUGUACAAAAGCAGGUGGCAGCCUAGAUUUGGCCCAGGGACUAUAGUUUGCCAACUCUUGAACUAGAUGACUCAAAUAGCAAAUUGUCCAUUAAAAUUCCUCUGUCAUCCAUGUGGCUUGUGUUCUGCUAACCUGUGUUUUAUAUACAGGGUAAAUUCAUGUUUUUUUUUCCUUCAGGGACACCAUAGGUGUGAAUGAAGAGACUCUAAAGGAGUUUAGCACAAUCUAUAAACACUUUGAUGAGAAUUUGACAGGGCGCCUGACUCACAAAGAGUUCCGGUCCUGCCUGAGAGGACUCAAUUACUACUUGCCUAUGGUGGAGGAGGAUGAACAUGAGCCCAAGUUUGAGAAGUUCCUGGAUGCUGUGGAUCCAGGGAGGAAGGGCUAUGUCUCACUGGAGGACUAUACUGCUUUCCUGAUUGACAAGGAGUCAGAAAACAUCAAGUCCAGUGAUGAAAUAGAGAAUGCCUUCCAAGCCCUGGCGGAGGGCAAGUCAUAUAUUACCAAAGAAGACAUGAAGCAGGUCCGAUUCUGGUUGCUUCCCUUACUACACUGUCAUCCUAAUUUGAAUUUUGGUCAUUUCAGGCCCAG